AAAAAAAAAAAAAAGUACAAAAUGGGAAUUUCAUUUUGUAAUUGUCCUGAAUGCUCUAAGUCUAUUUUCGUUUUACAAUGUUUGUCCAAGUAGACAUUCACUUUGUUGGAAACUGUCAUGUAUGCCGGCUUUUCAAUAUUGUGCUGUAUAUUCCCAGUUUACUUUUAACAGUUUCUCUAUGUAUGGAGACUGGUGAAGUAUUGACUGUGCCUUUGCUGUGUUCGGCUGAGGGCAGCCUUUUUUUGACCGGGGGGGAAUAUGUAACAGCCGUAAUUGUGUAGUGUCUCUUUAAGACACUCUAGUGUUGCUAGUGACGUCACAAGUAUGCGCCACGGCUACUCUGUAGAGAGCGUGGGAGAAACGUGCUACGACAGGUUAGCUUUCCUUAGUAAUGUUACGGGUUGUUUGGACUCUGCUAAUUUGCAUGUUUGAUAUUAUAGCAGCCGUUCAACCGGGCUUGUAAGGUUGGUGAAGAGAGUUUAUUAAAAGACAACACUGUGGAAAUUCCCAGUACCAGUGUGGCUGUGCGUUUUUGAUCGCCCAGACGAGUCUGCCGCCUCCUCUCCUCCCUUAAAUACAACCCGAGCGUUACAUGUUCAUUGAGCAAAUAUUUUUUUUACAAGUUCCUGUUCCCAGA
This is a long non-coding RNA of Xiphophorus hellerii (green swordtail), 637 nucleotides long. RefSeq lists it as uncharacterized. The record is from RefSeq and is a predicted model, not a curated record. NCBI's taxonomy places the organism in Eukaryota, Metazoa, Chordata, Actinopteri, Cyprinodontiformes, Poeciliidae. The transcript has 4 exons.